UACAAGCGGUGGAGCAUGUGGUUUAAUUCGAAGCUACGCGAAGAACCUUACCAGGUCUUGACAUACUAUGCAAAUCUAAGAGAUUAGACGUUCCCUUCGGGGACAUGGAUACAGGUGGUGCAUGGUUGUCGUCAGCUCGUGUCGUGAGAUGUUGGGUUAAGUCCCGCAACGAGCGCAACCCUUAUUACUAGUUGCCAGCAUUCAGUUGGGCACUCUAGUGAGACUGCCGGUGACAAACCGGAGGAAGGCGGGGACGACGUCAGAUCAUCAUGCCCCUUAUGACCUGGGCU
Molecule: ribosomal RNA, 290 nt
Filed under: uncultured Bacillus sp.
Lineage: Bacteria; Bacillati; Bacillota; Bacilli; Caryophanales; Bacillaceae
Description: partial 16S ribosomal RNA
Rfam family: Bacterial small subunit ribosomal RNA
Source: RNAcentral